GACGAACGCUGGCGGCGUGCUUAACACAUGCAAGUCGAACGGUGAAGCACCUUCCUUUUGGUGGGUGUGGAUGAGUGGCGCACGGGUGAGUAACACGUGAGUAACCUGCCCCCUUCUUCUGGAUAACCGCAUGAAAGUGUGGCUAAUACGGGAUAUUCUGGGUCUGUCGCAUGGCGGGCCUGGGAAAGAUAUUGUUUCGGUGGGGGAUGGGCUCGCGGUCUAUCAGCUUGUUGGUGGGGUGAUGGCCUACCAAGGCGGUGACGGGUAGCCGGCCUGAGAGGGGGGACGGUCACAAUGGGAAUGAGGCACCGCGCAGACGCCCACGGGAGGCAGCAGUGGGGAAUAUUGCACAAUGGGCGCAAGCCUGAUGCAGCGACGCCGCGUGAGGGAUGGAGGCCUGCGGGUUGUAAACCUCUUUCGCCAGUGAAGCAGGCCUGUCCCUUUUGUGGGUGGGUUGACGGUAGCUGGAUAAGAAGCGCCGGCUAACUACGUG
Molecule: ribosomal RNA, 493 nt
Filed under: uncultured bacterium
Lineage: Bacteria
Description: partial 16S ribosomal RNA
Rfam family: Bacterial small subunit ribosomal RNA
Source: RNAcentral